UGCUGCUCCUUGAUUUCACAUAAACAACUGAGUGCCUUCUGCUCUUUUUGGUCUUCUCUUUCUGUGUCUAUUGCUCUCCUGCCCACUCACCACUCACAUUCUCUUUAUCGAAUCCUAUCAAAUCUUUCUAUUUUUUCAUUAGCAUUAUAAAUAAUGGUCUUUCUCGCUAUGGCUCCAUUUAAAGUAUUUGAACAGAUAAAAAUAUUUAAACAGAUAAAAAAGAAUUCAAACAAUCCCGCCUAAUGGUGACUCUCUCUGUCAU
Molecule: unclassified non-coding RNA, 262 nt
Filed under: Hevea brasiliensis (rubber tree)
Lineage: Eukaryota; Viridiplantae; Streptophyta; Magnoliopsida; Malpighiales; Euphorbiaceae
Source: RNAcentral